This 344-nucleotide unclassified non-coding RNA is filed under the name soil metagenome. RNAcentral describes it as "partial contains 5.8S ribosomal RNA, internal transcribed spacer 2, and large subunit ribosomal RNA". The stretch from base 1 to 119 matches the Rfam family "5.8S ribosomal RNA", at positions 35 to 154 of the family's 154-position model. The record is from RNAcentral.
GAUGAAGAACGUAGCGAAAUGCGAUACGUAAUGUGAAUUGCAAAUUCAGUGAAUCAUCGAGUCUUUGAACGCACAUUGCGCCCCCUGGUAUUCCGGGGGGCAUGCCUGUCCGAGCGUCAUUGCUGCGCUCAAGCACGGCUUGUGUGUUGGGCCCCGUCCUCCGAUCCCGGGGGACGGGCCCGAAAGGCAGCGGCGGCACCGCGUCCGGUCCUCGAGCGUAUGGGGCUUUGUCACCCGCUCUGUAGGCCCGGCCGGCGCUUGCCGAUCAACCCAAAUUUUUAUCCAGGUUGACCUCGGAUCAGGUAGGGAUACCCGCUGAACUUAAGCAUAUCAAUAGCGGAGGA